GGAAAGGCGCGCGAUACAGGGUGACAGCCCCGUACACAAAAAUGCACAUGCUGUGAGCUCGAUGAGUAGGGCGGGACACGUGGUAUCCUGUCUGAAUAUGGGGGGACCAUCCUCCAAGGCUAAAUACUCCUGACUGACCGAUAGUGAACCAGUACCGUGAGGGAAAGGCGAAAAGAACCCCGGCGAGGGGAGUGAAAAAGAACCUGAAACCGUGUACGUACAAGCAGUGGGAGCACGCUUAGGCGUGUGACUGCGUACCUUUUGUAUAAUGGGUCAGCGACUUAUAUUCUGUAGCAAGGUUAACCGAAUAGGGGAGCCGAAGGGAAACCGAGUCUUAACUGGGCGUUAAGUUGCAGGGUAUAGACCCGAAACCCGGUGAUCUAGCCAUGGGCAGGUUGAAGGUUGGGUAACACUAACUGGAGGACCGAACCGACUAAUGUUGAAAAAUUAGCGGAUGACUUGUGGCUGGGGGUGAAAGGCCAAUCAAACCGGGAGAUAGCUGGUUCUCCCCGAAAGCUAUUUAGGUAGCGCCUCGUGAAUUCAUCUCCGGGGGUAGAGCACUGUUUCGGCAAGGGGGU
This 578-nucleotide ribosomal RNA is filed under the name Escherichia coli. RNAcentral describes it as "partial 23S ribosomal RNA". It matches the Rfam family "Bacterial large subunit ribosomal RNA", at positions 344 to 927 of the family's 2925-position model. Lineage: Bacteria; Pseudomonadati; Pseudomonadota; Gammaproteobacteria; Enterobacterales; Enterobacteriaceae. The record is from RNAcentral.